AGAGUUUGAUCCUGGCUCACAUUGAACGCUGGCGGCGUGCUUAACACAUGCAAGUCGCGCGCUGAAAGGACUUCGGUCCGAGUAAAGCGGCGCACGGGUGAGUAACGCGUGGAUGAUCUACCCAUGAGUUGGGAAUAACGGCUGGAAACGGUCGCUAAUACCGAAUACGCUCCGAUUUCAUCUUCGGGGGAAAGGUGGCCUCUGCUUGCAAGCUACUGCUCAUGGAUGAGUCCGCGUCCCAUUAGCUAGUUGGAGGGGUAACGGCCCACCAAGGCGACGAUGGGUAGCCGGUCUGAGAGGAUGACCGGCCACACUGGGACUGGAACACGGCCCAGACUCCUACGGGAGGCAGCAGUGGGGAAUAUUGCGCAAUGGGCGAAAGCCUGACGCAGCGACGCCGCGUGAGGGAUGAAGGUCCUCGGAUCGUAAACCUCUGUCAGGAGGGAAGAACCGCCACGGUGCUAAUCAGCCGUGGUCUGACGGUACCUCCAAAGGAAGCACCGGCUAACUCCGUGCCAGCAGCCGCGGUAAUACGGAGGGUGCGAGCGUUAAUCGGAAUCACUGGGCGUAAAGCGCACGUAGGCUGCUUGGUAAGUCAGGGGUGAAAGCCCGCGGCUCAACCGCGGAAUUGCCUUUGAUACUGCCGAGCUAGAGUCCGGGAGAGGGUAGUGGAAUUCCAGGUGUAGGAGUGAAAUCCGUAGAGAUCUGGAGGAACAUCAGUGGCGAAUGCGACUACCUGGACCGGUACUGACGCUGAAGUGCGAAAGCCACGCCGUAAACGAUGGAUGCUAGGUGUCGGGGCCUUGAGCUUCGGUGCCGUAGUUAACGCGUUAAGCAUCCCGCCUGGGGAGUACGGUCGCAAGGCUGAAACUCAAAGAAAUUGACGGGGGCCCGCACAAGCGGUGGAGUAUGUGGUUUAAUUCGAUGCAACGCGAAGAACCUUACCUAGGUUUGACAUCCGGAAAACCUUCCCGAAAAGGAAGGGUGCCCUUCGGGGAAUUCCGAGACAGGUGCUGCAUGGCUGUCGUCAGCUCGUGCCGUGAGGUGUUGGGUUAAGUCCCGCAACGAGCGCAACCCCUAUUGCCAGUUGCUACCAGGUAAUGCUGGGCACUCUGGUGAGACUGCCCCGGUUAACGGGGAGGAAGGUGGGGACGACGUCAAGUCAUCAUGGCCCUUACGCCUAGGGCCACACACGUACUACAAUGGCGCAUACAAAGGGCAGCGAUACCGCGAGGUGGAGCCAAUCCCAAAAAGUGCGUCCCAGUCCGGAUUGCAGUCUGCAACUCGACUGCAUGAAGUUGGAAUCGCUAGUAAUUCGAGAUCAGCAUGCUCGGGUGAAUGCGUUCCCGGGCCUUGUACACNCCGCCCGUCACACCACGAAAGUUGGUUUUACCCGACACCGGUGAGCUAACCAGCAAUGGAGGCAGCCGUCUACGGUAGGGCCGAUGAUUGGGGUGAAGUCGUAACAAGGUAACC
This 1476-nucleotide ribosomal RNA is filed under the name Nitratidesulfovibrio vulgaris. Its description in RNAcentral is "bacterial SSU rRNA". It matches the Rfam family "Bacterial small subunit ribosomal RNA". Lineage: Bacteria; Pseudomonadati; Thermodesulfobacteriota; Desulfovibrionia; Desulfovibrionales; Desulfovibrionaceae. The record is from RNAcentral.